This 254-nucleotide ribosomal RNA is filed under the name uncultured bacterium. Its description in RNAcentral is "partial 16S ribosomal RNA". It matches the Rfam family "Bacterial small subunit ribosomal RNA", at positions 524 to 776 of the family's 1533-position model. The record is from RNAcentral.
GACGAACCGUGCGAACGUUAUUCGGAAUCACUGGGCUUAAAGCGCGUGUAGGCGGAUGGGAACGUCGGUAGUUGAAAGCCCCCGGCUCAACCGGGGAAGUGGUGCCGAAACGACCCGUCUGGAGGGACGUAGGGGGACCUGGAACUUCCGGUGGAGCGGUGAAAUGCGUUGAGAUCGGAAGGAACGCCCGUGGCGAAAGCGAGGUCCUGGACGUCUGCUGACGCUGAGACGCGAAAGCCAGGGGAGCGAACGGG